GGGUUAAGUUUACAGAUGGUUCUGUAGUGGACCUGCAAAGUCUUAAAAGUUAGGGUUCGAUUCCUUCUUAACUCU
This 75-nucleotide transfer RNA is filed under the name Termitomyces sp. RNAcentral describes it as "tRNA-Cys". Lineage: Eukaryota; Fungi; Basidiomycota; Agaricomycetes; Agaricales; Lyophyllaceae. RNAcentral also lists the same sequence under 5 other names. The record is from RNAcentral.